This is a ribosomal RNA of 603 nucleotides. It matches the Rfam family "Bacterial large subunit ribosomal RNA", at positions 1325 to 1923 of the family's 2925-position model.
GAAUCCCGUCCACCGAUUGACUAAGGUUUCCAGAGGAAGGCUCGUCCGCUCUGGGUUAGUCGGGUCCUAAGCUGAGGCCGACAGGCGUAGGCGAUGGAUAACAGGUUGAUAUUCCUGUACCACCUAUAAUCGUUUUAAUCGAUGGGGGGACGCAGUAGGAUAGGCGAAGCGUGCGAUUGGAUUGCACGUCUAAGCAGUAAGGCUGAGUAUUAGGCAAAUCCGGUACUCAUUAAGGCUGAGCUGUGAUGGGGAGAAGACAUUGUGUCUUCGAGUCGUUGAUUUCACACUGCCGAGAAAAGCCUCUAGAUAGAAAAUAGGUGCCCGUACCGCAAACCGACACAGGUAGUCAAGAUGAGAAUUCUAAGGUGAGCGAGCGAACUCUCGUUAAGGAACUCGGCAAAAUGACCCCGUAACUUCGGGAGAAGGGGUGCUCUUUAGGGUUAACGCCCAGAAGAGUCGCAGUGAAUAGGCCCAAGCGACUGUUUAUCAAAAACACAGGUCUCUGCUAAACCGUAAGGUGAUGUAUAGGGGCUGACGCCUGCCCGGUGCUGGAAGGUUAAGAGGAGUGGUUAGCUUCUGCGAAGCUACGAAUCGAAGCCCCAG